Molecule: ribosomal RNA, 320 nt
Filed under: uncultured eukaryote
Lineage: Eukaryota
Description: partial 18S ribosomal RNA
Rfam family: Eukaryotic small subunit ribosomal RNA
Source: RNAcentral
CCCCUAGAUGUUCUGGGCCGCACGCGCGCUACACUGAACAGUUCAACAAGUCUUAACCUUGGCCGAUAGGUCUGGGUAAUCUUUGAACGCUGUUCGUGAUUGGGAUAGACCUUUGCAAUUAUGGGUCUUCAACGAGGAAUUCCUAGUAAACGCAAGUCAUCAGCUUGCAUUGAUUACGUCCCUGCCCUUUGUACACACCGCCCGUCGCACCUACCGAUUGAAUGGUCCGGUGAAAUCUCGCGACGGCGGCUUGGUCGCUUGCGUCCGACUGCUGAAACUUGAUUAAACCAUAUCAUUUAGAGGAAGGUGAANUCGUANCA